This 1026-nucleotide long non-coding RNA is filed under the name Cyanoderma ruficeps (rufous-capped babbler). Its description in RNAcentral is "lncRNA (ENSCRFG00000012580.1)". The record is from RNAcentral. Lineage: Eukaryota; Metazoa; Chordata; Aves; Passeriformes; Timaliidae.
GCUUGACUGCAGCUCGGGAGCCAAGGGGUGGGAGGUGUGUGGGUGGAAGCACAGACAAGGCCUCCCACAGCUGUUCUCACAGGACCCUGCUCCAGGUUACACAGCUGUGCUACAGCAGGGGAUGGCUUGAACACAGGCAGCUGAAGCCUAGAGGAGAGAGGGUGGAUGGUGACCAUUGCAAAGGUUUUGUGGGGAAGAAAGAUUGCAGGCUCCUCAAGGUAGUUGCAGCUUUUUUGUGGGGCUGGGAUUUUGGUUCUGAAACAUUUCCUUUUUUAAGUUAGGGGAUAGUGAGAUAUCUGGCUGAGGUGAUCCAGCUAUGUAUGAAAUGUCUCUCUUCUUGCUGCUCCUAUGGGGUGAGUUCAGGAAACUCCAGUGACCCCUUGUACUUUCAGCACUGUAAAAGCACCAGGAUGUGUUACUCUUCUCUGCUGCGCUUGGUUUCCUGCUUCGGGAGUACACUAGUUGCAAAACUCCUUUUCAGGUCUUCUCUGUGUCAUUAGACCAUCCUUUCUGUUCCUGGACCAAAUGAUUUAAUUAUUUCAUGUGAAGUGGAACAGCUUUAACAGAGAUGAAUGACAGUAUCUAUUUUAGAAUACUCAGGAUUACCUGUCCAGCUAUUUUUCUUGUGUGCUUUAAGCCUGGCAUUUCUUAGGCAUUGUAAGAGCUGAUUGAUUUUACUCUGUUCUGUCUCUUGGUGUACAACUGUUUAAUCCAAAGCUGCCUUGCCACCCUCUUGUAUUGGGUAUUUUCUCAUCUAUGUAGUGUGUUCUGAAUUAUAAUAUGGAUUUGGAGGGCUGACUAUAAAUAAGUAGUUUUGAGAAUUUUUUUGAGAAUUCCUUCUCUUUGUAUUCCACCAGGUUAUGAAAAUGCCUAUAGGAAUGAUUAUGUAACAGAAGCAGACAAUAAUAAAAUUUAUGAUAGAAUUUGGGUCUGACAAGAUGCUGUGUAAGAUGAAAUGCUAUCAUGCCUGCCUCAUUAAAUCUACAGGGAAAGAAGGGGGAGUGAAUUUUCUGCACUCUCCCAAAA